Molecule: ribosomal RNA, 481 nt
Filed under: uncultured bacterium
Lineage: Bacteria
Description: partial 16S ribosomal RNA
Rfam family: Bacterial small subunit ribosomal RNA
Source: RNAcentral
AUUGAACGCUGGCGGCAUGCUUUACACAUGCAAGUCGAACGGUAACAGGCCGCCAGGUGCUGACGAGUGGCGAACGGGUGAGUAAUGCAUCGGAACGUGCCCAGUCGUGGGGGAUAACUACUCGAAAGAGUAGCUAAUACCGCAUACGAUCUAUGGAUGAAAGCGGGGGACCGUAAGGCCUCGCGCGAUUGGAGCGGCCGAUGUCAGAUUAGGUAGUUGGUGGGGUAAAGGCUCACCAGGCCAACGAUCUGUAGCCGGUCUGAGAGGACAACCAGCCACACUGGACUGAGACACGGCCCAGACUCCUACGGGAGGCAGCAGUGGGGAAUUUUGGACAAUGGGCGCAAGCCUGAUCCAGCAAUGCCGCGUGCAGGAAGAAGGCCUUCGGGUUGUAAACUGCUUUUGUACGGAACGAAACGGCUCUGGUUAAUACCCGGGGCUAAUGACGGUACCGGAAGAAUAAGCACCGGCUAACUACGUG